Molecule: ribosomal RNA, 505 nt
Filed under: uncultured bacterium
Lineage: Bacteria
Description: partial 16S ribosomal RNA
Rfam family: Bacterial small subunit ribosomal RNA
Source: RNAcentral
GACGAACGCUGGCGGCGUGCCUAAUACAUGCAAGUAGAACGCACAGUUUAUACCGUAGCUUGCUACACCAUAGACUGUGAGUUGCGAACGGGUGAGUAACGCGUAGGUAACCUGCCUGGUAGCGGGGGAUAACUAUUGGAAACGCUAGCUAAUACCGCAUAAUAUUAAUUAUUGCAUGAUAAUUGAUUGAAAGAUGCAACUGCAUCACUACCAGAUGGACUUGCGUUGUAUUAGCUAGUAGGUGAGGUAACGGCUCACCUAGGCGACGAUACAUAGCCGAACGGAGAGGGUGGGCGGCCACACUGGGACUGUGACACGGCACAGACUGCUACGGGAGGCAGCAGUAGGGAAUCUGCGGCAAUGGGCGGAAGUCUGACCGAGCAACGCCGCGUGAGUGAAGAAGGUUUUCGGGUCGUAAAGCUCUGUUGUAAGGGAAGAACGGGUGUGAGAGUGGAAAGUUCACACUGUGACGGUAUCUUACCAGAAAGGGACGGCUAACUACGUG